AUUAUGCUUUGCAUCGUUUUAAAAAUAAAUAUUUUGUAUUUAAAUUCUUUACGUAGUAGCCACACUGCUGCUGUCAAGAAUUUUCUGUUAGAAAAAGUUAUCAAAAUCGUAAAAUUGAAUUAAAAGAAUAUAUUAUAAAAGGAAUCAAGACUAGUUUGAGAACAUUUUUAAAUUGAGUCCAACUAUAUUUUUUAUUGAGUCUCAUAAGAAACACAAGGAAAUCACAGAAAUCAAGCGGCGUGAAAUUUCAAAUCUUCAAUGGUCACAAGUCGCAACAAAAAAUUAAUUGAAAAAGUCAUAAAACAAGAAGCUAUGACAUGCAAAUGAAAACGAGAAGACCAAAAGCGUUGUUUUUUGUGAUUAAAAAAGAAAACGUAACACGUAAAAAAACACACGAAUAUGUGGGAAUGUGAAGAAGGUCUUUGCAAUUAAUACACAGCCAGUGAGUGUCAAUAACACGAGCAUGUGGAAGGUCGUUAAAAUGCAAAAGAAAUAGAUAGAUAAUAAAGCGUGAUGUAAAAGUAACAGAUACACAAACAUAUAAGUGCAUAAAAAUUACAUAUGCAAGCAAAAAAAAAACACGAAAAUAUAUGCAAGUAACCAAACUCAAGUUUACAACAUGUAACCAUAAAAAGACAGCCGCACUGCGAAGUGUUUGAAAAAUUUUCAGCUUAAUGUGUCGAUUGUCACGCCAUUUAUGCUUGUAUAAAAAAAAUCAAGCCCUUUUUAGAUAAUUUUUAGACUACAAGCAAUUAAGAUUUUUCACCUACAUGCACAAAAGUUCACUGCAAACAUAAAAAAUGCGAUUGUGUAAUUUGAUCAAUUUGACAGCAGCUGCCAAGUAGAUAUACGGAAAGAAGAAACACAAUAACAAAUUGAGGCGACAGAGCAGAAUGCUUGUCGCAAUCAAUUAAAGUUCAACGGACAGGCACUUAUGUGGGCUAAUGCGAGAAAGAAAAUGUUUUACACAGCACCAACGAGUAUAUGUACAUUUGUAUUUAUGUAAAUAAGUAUAUAUAAUUAUAUUUGCAUUUGUUUGAAAGUAAAUGCACUUUGACAUGCAAGUGUAUAAGUAAAGCAUGUAAAAAAUGCACAAUUCACAGGUGAACUGACACAUAAGAAAUACCAACAAAUGUAAACAAACAUGGUACAGGGCGACUCAGAGCAUUAAAGGUAACCGUGGAAGAAAAUGUAAAUUGGCGCCUGCAGAAAAUUGCAUAGAAAAUCAUUGUUUUAAGUGAAUGAGUGAGCGAGUGUUGAUAAUAGCCGGAUAGAAUAUACAUAUUUAGAAAGAAAAGCAACAAAACAAAGCAUAGAAAGAAGUGGAAAAUUGAUGCAAAGACACAAUGACUGAAUGUAAAUGACCUCUUGAGAUAAACUUUGCAGAGCAGCUAAGCACGGAAAUGGGGAGGGAGGCAGGCGUUUGCAGUGGAAAAACAUUGAAGGGGAGGCAGAAUAUGCAUAAAUGAUAAAAUAUACAAAUAUUAUAAAAAAUAACAAGAAGAAGUAAAGAACAAUAGGGGAAUUUACAAUUGUUUGUGUGUUAACAUAUAAAAAAUAUAAUAAUAGUUACAACAAAAUAGCAACGAAAUAGUGCAGAAAAGCAAAUACAUAUGUUUGUAUACAUAUACACGAAUAUUGAAGCUUGGAGCGACGAAAAAAAGCUUGAUAUCCAAACGUCAAAGUAAAAUGCGGGCAGAACGCAAACGCAAACGAUGGUAGGCUGCGUAUUGCUACCAACAACAACUACGUACACUCCAAGUGAAGUAAAGUAAAGCAAAAAGCAGAAUAAAAUUCAAUCAUCGCCAACUUCACACAUAAUAAAUCAUCUAGUGCGUCUAUGUGUGUGUGUUAGAGCGCGCGGCAACUUUGAGGCUCCCCUCCCAAUGCAGACACCGCCACACCAAUACUUGGAAGUUUAGUGUGUAAAUUGCGUGUUGAAGGCGAAACAAAUGGAAAAGAAGACAUCGCUGCCGACUUAAAUAAAUAUGCAUAUAUUUUCUUAUAUACUUCUUCUGUCUAUAUUUUCCAUUUGGCUGAGGUUGUCGCUGCUGCUGCGCUGCAUGCUUACUUUGUAUGCCUUGUGGGUUGGUUACUUCGUGUGUUGUUGUGUGUGAAGAAAGUGUGAAGCGUUAACCAGCAUGCAGCUGCGCGCAGUUGAAGGAAAUUGUUGCACGAAACGGAAAUAUGAGAGUGUUUGUGGCAAGUAGUGUACGAGUGCUGACUGGGUGUUUGACGCUUUCCUCUGAGUGUGGAUCGUGCGGAAAUGGAAAUUGAGAAGAGGGUCACAAUGACACACACGCUUUGGCUUUGGUGUCGUUACAAUUUUGAUUUGUUGUGAUUUUAGAGCAUAAAUUGUGUAAAAGUGUUGUUGCACAAAUAAUGAGAAAAUAAUAAAUAUUUGGGGGAGAGGGAGGAAUAUAAAAACAGUAAAA
Molecule: long non-coding RNA, 2435 nt
Organism: Zeugodacus cucurbitae (melon fly)
Lineage: Eukaryota; Metazoa; Arthropoda; Insecta; Diptera; Tephritidae
Exons: 2
Source: RefSeq, a predicted model, not a curated record